UUUGGUGACCAACCGGCCCAUUUUCACUUUCAACACUAGUUUGUUCCAUUUAGUGUGGCCAUGUGCAGCCAAGAAUGCCAAAAUCGGAUACAGAAGCCUGCAUCUCACUCGUACUUCUGCCUGUAAUUCAGUCACCAAUGCCAAAUUAGGUAUGAGAACUACAGACCCAAGAGAACAUUCUAUUCCAGACGAGUUGGCAAACCAGAUCUCAACCUUCUGAAAAGUGGACAUAAUAAGGUAGAUGACUGGAUUCACUCACUAUUCUGGAAGAAUAUAUACUUCAUAGGGUUAUAGGCAAAUAAUUACAAUGCAAUGUAAGUACUAAAAUAGAG
Long non-coding RNA from Panthera uncia (snow leopard), 332 nucleotides. RefSeq lists it as uncharacterized. The record is from RefSeq and is a predicted model, not a curated record. Lineage: Eukaryota; Metazoa; Chordata; Mammalia; Carnivora; Felidae. The transcript has 3 exons.